This 253-nucleotide ribosomal RNA is filed under the name uncultured bacterium. RNAcentral describes it as "partial 16S ribosomal RNA". It matches the Rfam family "Bacterial small subunit ribosomal RNA", at positions 524 to 776 of the family's 1533-position model. The record is from RNAcentral.
GACGUAGGGAGCAAGCGUUAUCCGGAUUUACUGGGCGUAAAGCGCGCGUAGGCGGUCUGUUAAGUGCGAAGUGAAAUCUCCGGGCUCAACUCGGAAACUGCUUCGCAUACUGGCAGACUUGAGGGAUGCAGAGGCUUAUGGAAUUCCUGGUGUAGCGGUGAAAUGCGUAGAUAUCAGGAGGAACACCCAUGGCGAAGGCAGUAAGCUGGGCAUCAUCUGACGCUGAGGUGCGAAAGCGUGGGUAGCAAACAGG